GUUUUCAAAAGCUGCGGUAGGAAAUACAUUGUGUAUAUGACUUUGCCCAGGAAAGUGAGACAUCCAGAGAACUUCAACUCUAAAAACUUUGCUAAAAACUUACUGCUAUCAAGCCCAGUAUCUCUUCUCAAGAGAUGGGCAAAAAAAGUGACAGUGAAAAGGUGAGAGGACAGGAGGCUACUCCCAGGUGGCGUGCUCUCUUUUUGAGCUGUUUCCUCUGUGGUGUGUGUAAGUGCUCUUCAGAUCAGGACAAUGCGGAAGACGGACAAGGCGGGGACCAGCGGGCGGCCCGAGAGGAAGCUACGCCGUCCACCAGCCAGCAGGGACCACAGGCUCCGAGGAGAGAGAGCGCGAAAGAGAAGAAGGCCCGAACGAAAGAGGCAAAACUCAGGGAGAAGGAGGGAAAGAGAGAGCAGGACAGGAUGAGGAACACCCCGGUUUGGUUUGCCCGUGUCGUGGGCCGACCGCGGUCGGCGACUGCACACGCUCAGACAAACAGGGCAGCGACGGCCAAGGCAUCUGAGGAGGAACAAGAGGCGACGACAAAGGGACCAGUCUCCGUCGCGGAAGCCUGCCUGGAAACCUUCUUCAGGAGGCAGGAGAUGGACCAGAAGAGGCUCGUGGGGAACUUCAACAUGUACAUGCGCAUGGAACUGAUCAAGGCCAACAGGAUGUGGAACGCUAUGCCCCUGAGGGAUGACGAGGCCGUCAGGAAGGUGACCUUCCGUGCCCCCAGCCCGCCCGGACCCGCUGAGGUCUUCCUUCCCGCCCGCGGAGCAGUCUGCCGGAGAGACCUUGACUGGAGAGGUGAGGAGUGCUUGGCUGAUGCGGUGCAGAUCAGGCAGCUUGAGACUGAGUCUGAGGCUCCAGUGGUAGCUGCCGUGGUCACAAAAGAAGAGACUGAGCCUAUGUUUCAGCCAGUGAUGAGCCGAGCAAAUGAUGACACCAGAGUCACAGUGCCCCAUGUUGUGGGCACUUGUAUCACAUUUUUUAUGAGUAUUGGUUUCUUCUUCCUCCUGUGCUUCUUAGAGGAGCUUUUUGACUUCAGUAGGCACUGGCCAGAUUGACCGACUGCCUUAAUGUGGCAAGGGACCGGACGGGGGUGUGGGUGACGGUGAUGGCUUGAGAGGGGGUCAAGAGAGUUUUCGGCCACUCUGAAGAACAUGAAAUGCUCUUCAGAGAAACUAUAUUUAGUUGAAUUAAAAAUGGAGAGGUGACUCAGAAGACUAAUGGAGAAGCAGGAGAUGAGCUGCAACCCUGACAGAGAAGAGCAGAGAUGAGGAUGAGAGGAGAGGGAUGGAGAGCAAAUGAGUGUCAAGAGAGGACAGGAAAGCAAAGAACACAUGAGGAGAGGAGAAGGAGGAGAAGAGGGGAAUGGAGAGCAAAGGAACAUGAGUGGAGAGAAAAGCAAAGAAAAAGGCAACAGAUGAGAACAUAUCAAAGAAAAAGACAUGAGGAGAGGAGAAGGGGGGAAUGGAGAGGAGAAGAGAGGAACGGGGAAAGUGAGUGAACAGAAAAGGACAGCAGAGAGGAGAACAUAUCUAAUCAAAGAAAAAGACAUGAGAGGAGAGGAGAGCAAAUAAGUCAAAGGAGGAGAGGAAAGCAAAGGAGAAGACAGCAGAGAACAGAUAAAAAAAGGCAAAGAAAAAGACAUGACAGGAGAAGAGAGUGAAAGGGAAAAAAAGGAGACCUGACGAUCCAAGGGGCAAUGAGAAGAGGAGGCUAGCCAUCCUAGCAGACACAGAAGUGAAUAGAUGUAGAGGUACAGGCAAGGAACAUUGCAACAGGGGCUUUUUAAGCAUACUCUCAGACUCAUCAUCAAUCAUGAAACUGCCACCAGUUCCUGAGACAUCACUCAGGGAUUACAGUAUUUCAACUCCUGAUUUGCUAUGGUCAGAGCCUAGACCAGAACAACACCAGACUACAUAACUGGAGUAAAAUCUCUAUUACUAUCAGCUGUUGAUGACGCAACAAUUUGCACGGAAGAAAUAAAAGUA
RNA transcript from Alosa sapidissima (American shad), 1997 nucleotides. RefSeq lists it as uncharacterized. Lineage: Eukaryota; Metazoa; Chordata; Actinopteri; Clupeiformes; Clupeidae. The record is from RefSeq and is a predicted model, not a curated record. The transcript has 4 exons.